UGGCCUUUUCCUUGGUAAGAUUUAAUUUGAGAAUAAAUAGAAGAGGCCAACAAUUGCAAUAGUUUAUUCCAAACUGCAGCCACUCUAACAGCAAGCUGCACUUGUUUUCCAGGAUGGAUAGAUUACUUCAAAAGGAAUUUAUCGCCGUGUGCAGCAGAGCUUGGCGAAGGUAGUGUAGUUUAUUUACUUAGCUCACUAACACAGUAUAUGCAAACGAAAUUACUGCACAUUCUUUUUAAGAUAAGACAGUGUAGUAGUAGUGUUUGGAGUUUCAGAAGGGAGGCAAUUUGGUUUGUGACUGCACAUUUUUUAAAGAAAUUACUGAAUAUUUUUUAAAGAAAUUACUUGAGACUACUCUUGUGUUUGUCUUGCCUUGUGACUGUUUCAAACUUCAAAUAAAUUGUUUGCUCAUCGGACUUUGUUGUGAGUUUUUCUCUUCCACGAAAAAUCUGUUCGGUCUAGAAGUUUCUGUAUUAAGUUGGUAUUGAUGUAGCUCUAACAAGGCCAUGAAACAAUUCAUACUGUUUCUUCAUUGUACUUUUCCCUUUGCAAACAGUCUACAACCUCUGUUGGUCUUGAUGUAGCUCUAACAAGGCCAUGAUAUAAUUCCUUGAAAUAUACCUGAUUGUUGUUCUGCUCUUAAUAUCAUUUACUUGAAAUAUACCUGAUCAUUUACUUGUACAUAAGUACUCCCUCUGUCAACUGGCUCCUCUGUUUGUGGGUCUUGGAAUUGAAAUUGAAUGAAAAAUAUCUGCAUUGAAUUCAAAUGAGAUAUAAUUUUGUCAACAGUAGCAACAUUACCUUGUUUUCUUCAGUAUCAUCAGUUUUUUUCUAGUGUCAUUAAACCAGGUUGAGAAGUGGAACAAAACAGAGGAAGAAUGGGACGUUUGCAGGGUCCCUCGAAAUCGUUUGUUUGAGAGUCUCGUCAGUUGCUUUUGUGUCGGUGCUAUUGUUGCCAGCAUGCUUAAAUGUACGCAUGUCUUAUGUAUUCUCAGCAUGCUUAAAUGUAUGCAUGUCUUUCCUCGGACUUGUGAAUGCCGAAAACGUAUGAGAUAUUUUUGGUUCAAGUCAUGCUGAUGUGAGAGAUUAUGUUGCUGCUAUGUGACAUUGCAAUUAUGUGAUGAUAUAUUGGUUCGAAGUCAAGCAAAUUAUGUUGUUCAUGUGAAAAACUGUUGCAAGAUU
RNAcentral lists this long non-coding RNA (1182 nucleotides) under Triticum aestivum (bread wheat). Its description in RNAcentral is "long non-coding RNA (TAES_LNC003623)". Lineage: Eukaryota; Viridiplantae; Streptophyta; Magnoliopsida; Poales; Poaceae. The record is from RNAcentral.